RNAcentral lists this ribosomal RNA (253 nucleotides) under uncultured bacterium. Its description in RNAcentral is "partial 16S ribosomal RNA". It matches the Rfam family "Bacterial small subunit ribosomal RNA", at positions 524 to 776 of the family's 1533-position model. The record is from RNAcentral.
UACGUAGGCAGCAAGCGUUGUUCGGAAUUACUGGGCGUAAAGAGUGUGUAGGCGGUGUUCUAAGUCUGUUGUGAAAUCUCCCGGCUUAACUGGGAGGGUGCGGCGGAAACUGGAAUGCUAGAGGAUGGGAGAGGUAAGCGGAAUUCCUGGUGUAGCGGUGAAAUGCGUAGAUAUCAGGAGGAACACCGGUGGCGAAGGCGGUUCUCUGGGCCUUACCUGACGCUGAGGAGCGAAAGCGUGGGGAGCAAACAGG